UUGUCUCUCUAUAUCUAAGCGAAACAACCCCCUAUUCUCCCUAACCCUUUCCUCAAAGCUUUUCUCCAUACCCACUUCCUGUAAGUUCUUUGCGGCCACACCUUCGUCUCCAGUUGUCACAAAACUUUCCCUUUCAUUAGAUUCAUAGUUGGAUGAUGAUUUAUCAACCGGUGUUGACGAACUACUGGAGCAGAAAUUUUCCUCUGAACUUAAACUCUUCGUGUGUAGUUUGUCGUUUAGUGUUGAUAACCAACUCUUGCUCUGUUGUUUGCACGCUCCGGAAAUGUGGAGGUCGUCGAGGAUCUUGAUGAUAGAAAUAUCAGAGUUAGUGUUGCUAUACCUCCACAAAGGCAACAAAUUUAAACAGUCUUGUGUAUAAACUAUACAGUGUUAAAAUUUGUGUGUGUUUUGAGGUUGAAUGACAUUUCAUUAAGUAGAUAAAUUCGAUUGGGGUGUUCAUGGUGAA
Long non-coding RNA from Lactuca sativa (garden lettuce), 466 nucleotides. RefSeq lists it as uncharacterized. NCBI's taxonomy places the organism in Eukaryota, Viridiplantae, Streptophyta, Magnoliopsida, Asterales, Asteraceae. The record is from RefSeq and is a predicted model, not a curated record.